RNAcentral lists this ribosomal RNA (2907 nucleotides) under Oligoflexales bacterium. RNAcentral's name for it is "23S ribosomal RNA". It matches the Rfam family "Bacterial large subunit ribosomal RNA". Lineage: Bacteria; Pseudomonadati; Bdellovibrionota; Oligoflexia; Oligoflexales. The record is from RNAcentral.
AAAGAAGCUACUAAGAGCAUGUGGGGGAUGCCUUGGCACUAGGAGGCGAUGAAGGACGCGACAAGCUGCGAAAAGCUUCGGGGAGCUGCUAAAUAAGCUUUGAUCCGGAGAUGUCCGAAUGGGGGAACCCGUCUUUCGCAAGAAAGAUACCACGUAAGUGGGGCUAACGCAGGGAAGUGAAACAUCUCAGUACCUGUAGGAAAAGAAAUCAAUGUAGAGAUACCGAAAGUAGUGGCGAGCGAAAUCGGUAGAGCCUAAACCGAUCAGAUUUCUGGUCGGGGUUGCGGGAUUUGUCCAUAAGACAAUAGAAGUUUAGAGGAAGCUCAUGGGAAAGAGCGUCAUAGAGGGUGAUAGCCCCGUACUCGAAAAGCCGAAAUUGUUGGACGAACACCCAAGUAGGGCGGGGCACGAGAAACCCUGUCUGAAUCCGGGAGGACCAUCUUCCAAGGCUAAAUACUACCUAGUGACCGAUAGUGAAUCAGUACCGUGAGGGAAAGGUGAAAAGAACCCCGACAAGGGGAGUGAAAUAGAUCUGAAACCACAUGCUUACAAACAGUCGGAGCGUAAGUGACGGCGUGCCUUUUGCAUAAUGAGCUAGCGAGUUAAUGUAGCAAGCGAGGUUAAGAUGUUAAGCAUCGUAGCCGUAGUGAAAGCGAGCCUGAAUAGGGCGAUAGUUUGCUGCAUUAGACCCGAAACCCAGUGAUCUAUCCAUGAGCAGGUUGAAGCUGUAGUAACAUACAGUGGAGGACCGAACCCGUAAUCGUUGAAAAGAUUUGGGAUGACUUGUGGAUAGGAGUGAAAGGCUAAUCAAACUGGGUGAUAGCUGGUUCUCCUCGAAAUAUAUUUAGGUAUAGCCUCAUGGCAUGCUUAACGGGGGUAGAGCACUGAUUGGGCUAGGGGUCCUACCAGAUUACCAAACCCACUCAAACUCCGAAUACCGUUACAGUUACCAUGGGAGACAGACUGCGGGAGAGAAGUUCCGUAGUCGAAAGGGAAAGAGCCCAGACCACCAGCUAAGGUCCCGAAGACUGCACUAAGUGGAAAACGAUGUGAGAUUGCUUAGACAGCCAGGAGGUUGGCUUAGAAGCAGCCAUCCUUUAAAGAAAGCGUAACAGCUCACUGGUCAAGUGAUUUUGCGCGGAAAAUUCAACGGGGCUAAGUGCAGCACCGAAGCUGUGGACUUUUACGCAAGUAAAAGUGGUAGAGGAGCAUUGUAGCAACCGACGAAGGUGUGCGGCGACGCAUGCUGGAGGAACUACAAGAGCCUAUGCUAGCAUAAGUAGCGAGAAAGCAAGUUAAAAACUUGCUCGCCGAAAGCCCAAGGUUUCCUGGGAAAGGGUAAACCACCCAGGGUUAGUCGGACCCUAAGGCGAGGCCGAAAGGCGUAGUUGAUGGAUGACAGGUUAAUAUUCCUGUACCCAAUGUAAGGAGUGAUGCAGGGGGGGAGAAAGGUAUUUCUAGCCGGUUAUCGAAUUCCGGUCCAAGCGUGUAGGGAGAAGUCGUAGGCAAAUCCGCGAUUUCGUUAAUCCUGAGGCGUGAUGGGUAGGCGCAAGCCGAAGUGAAAGAUCCUCUACUCACGAGAAAAGCUGCUAAACGAUGAUAGACAUUGGUCCGUACCAAAACCGACUCAGGUGGGCGAGGAGAGUAUCCUAAGGCGAUUGAGUGAAACAUGGUCAAGGAACUCGGCAAAUUAACACCGUACCUUCGGUAUAAGGUGUGCCAGCAAUGUGUAGGACUUCGCGUCUGAAGCAUAGUCUGGUUGCAGAGAAGAGGGGGUGGCGACUGUUUACCAAAAACACAGCACUACGCAAAAUCAGAAGAUGAUGUAUGUGGUGUGACGCCUGCCCGGUGCUGGAAGGUUAAAAGGAGGGGUCAGCCGCAAGGUGAAGCUCUGAAUUGAAGCCCCAGUAAACGGCGGCCGUAACUAUAACGGUCCUAAGGUAGCGAAAUUCCUUGUCGGGUAAGUUCCGACCUGCACGAAUGGCGUAACGACUUCCCCGCUGUCUCGACCGUGUGCUCAGCGAAUUUGAAAACCGGGUGCAGAUGCCCGGUACCCGCAGCAAGACGGAAAGACCCCGUGAACCUUCACUACAACUUGACACUGGUAUUCGGAUUGGUUUGUGUAGCAUAGGUGGGAGACAUUGAAGCCAGGGCGCUAGCUCUGGUGGAGUCAACAGUGAAAUACCACCCUGAACAAUCUGGCUAUCUAACCUAGCUAUAACAGUAGCAGGGACCCUGUCUGGUGGGUAGUUUGACUGGGGCGGUCGCCUCCUAAAGAGUAACGGAGGCGCGCAAAGGUUCCCUCAGACCGGAUGGAAAUCGGUCGUAGAGUGCAAACGCAUAAGGGAGCUUAACUGCAAGACAAACGAGUCGAGCAGAUACGAAAGUAGGCGUUAGUGACCCGGUGGCACUGAAUGGAAGGGCCAUCGCUCAACGGAUAAAAGGUACUCCGGGGAUAACAGGCUGAUCUCCUCCAAGAGUUCACAUCGACGAGGAGGUUUGGCACCUCGAUGUCGGCUCAUCACAUCCUGGGGCUGAAGCAGGUCCCAAGGGUUCGGCUGUUCGCCGAUUAAAGUGGUACGCGAGCUGGGUUCAGAACGUCGUGAGACAGUUCGGUCCCUAUCUGCUGUGGGCGUAGGAAAUUUGAGAGGAUCUGACCUUAGUACGAGAGGACCGGGUUGGACAUACCGCUGGUGUACCAAUUGUUUCGUCAGAAGCAUAGUUGGGUAGCUACGUAUGGAAGGGAUAACCGCUGAAAGCAUCUAAGUGGGAAACCCACCUCAAGAUAAGAUUUCCCUGGUUUCGGCCCUAAAGAUCUGUUCGAGAUAAGGACGUUGAUAGGCUGGGUGUGUAAGUGUAGUAAUACAUUGAGCUAACCAGUACUAAUAGAUCGUGAGGCUUUUUUUA